GGGGGAUAUUGCACAAUGGGGGAAACCCUGAUGCAGCGACGCCGCGUGAGCGAAGAAGGCCUUCGGGUCGUAAAGCUCUGUUUCGAGGGAAGAAUAAUGACGGUACCUCGGGAGAAAGCCCCGGCUAACUACGUGCCAGCAGCCGCGGUAAUACGUAGGGGGCAAGCGUUAUCCGGAAUCACUGGGCGUAAAGGGUGCGUAGGCGGCCAAUAAAGUCAGAGGUGAAAGGCUACGGCUCAACCGUAGUAAGCCUUUGAAACUUAUUGGCUUGAGUGCAGGAGAGGAGAGUGGAAUUCCUAGUGUAGCGGUGAAAUGCGUAGAUAUUAGGAGGAACACCAGUGGCGAAGGCGACUCUCUGGACUGUAACUGACGCUGAGGCACGAAAGCGUGGGGAGCGAAC
This 400-nucleotide ribosomal RNA is filed under the name uncultured bacterium. RNAcentral describes it as "bacterial SSU rRNA". It matches the Rfam family "Bacterial small subunit ribosomal RNA", at positions 356 to 773 of the family's 1533-position model. The record is from RNAcentral.